RNAcentral lists this ribosomal RNA (776 nucleotides) under uncultured Neocallimastigales. Its description in RNAcentral is "partial large subunit ribosomal RNA". It matches the Rfam family "Eukaryotic large subunit ribosomal RNA", at positions 26 to 614 of the family's 3401-position model. The record is from RNAcentral. Lineage: Eukaryota; Fungi; Neocallimastigomycota; Neocallimastigomycetes; Neocallimastigales.
CGCAUCUGUGCAUGCAGCAUAUCAAUAAGCGGAGGAAAAGAAACUAACAAGGAUUCCCCUAGUAACGGUGAGUGAAGCGGGAAGAGCUCAAAUUUGAAAUCUUAAAGGGUUUCCCUUUACGAAUUGUAGUUUAAAGAAGUGUUUUCUGUUGAGGUUUUGGUAAAAGUUCUUUGGAAUAGGACAUCAUAGAGGGUGAGAAUCCCGUAUUUGACCUUUACUUUCAACUUUGUGAUACACUUUCAAAGAGUCGGAUUGUUUGGGAAUGCAGUCCAAAAUGGGUGGUAAAUUUCAUCUAAAGCUGAAUAUUGGCGAGAGACCGAUAGCGAACAAGUACCGUGAGGGAAAGAUGAAAAGAACUUUGAAAAGAGAGUUAAACAGUACGUGAAAUUGUCAAAAGGGAAGCGUUUGACACCAGUGUUGUUUUUCUGAAAAUCAAUUAAAGAACUGUUUAUGCUAAGCUGUUUAGACUUUAUCAGCUAAUCUGUUUAGUUUUGAGCUUUUCUUUAAUGCACUUUUCAGUUAACAAGUCAACAUCAAUUUCUUUUGCCUGUAAAAAAGCUUGAGGAAGGUGGCUUGAGAUUCGUCUUAAGUGUUUAUAGCCUCUUGCCUAUGCAGUCGGAGAGAUUGAGGUCUGCAGCGUAGAUCCUUCGGGGCUAAAUGCAUUUGUGCUAAGUUAUAGCAUUUUAUAGACAACUUGUUGACUAUGAUUUGUCUUGUAGCUUACUCGCUUAUGUUAUUUUACCUACGCUUAGGAUGUUGAGUCAUCACACAUCUCU